RNAcentral lists this transfer RNA (71 nucleotides) under Myxocyprinus asiaticus (Chinese sucker). RNAcentral's name for it is "tRNA-Pro". It matches the Rfam family "tRNA". Rfam says of the family: Transfer RNA (tRNA) molecules are approximately 80 nucleotides in length. Their secondary structure includes four short double-helical elements and three loops (D, anti-codon, and T loops). Further hydrogen bonds mediate the characteristic L-shaped molecular structure. tRNAs have two regions of fundamental functional importance: the anti-codon, which is responsible for specific mRNA codon recognition, and the 3' end, to which the tRNAs corresponding amino acid is attached (by aminoacyl-tRNA synthetases). tRNAs cope with the degeneracy of the genetic code in two manners: having more than one tRNA (with a specific anti-codon) for a particular amino acid; and 'wobble' base-pairing, i.e. permitting non-standard base-pairing at the 3rd anti-codon position. Lineage: Eukaryota; Metazoa; Chordata; Actinopteri; Cypriniformes; Catostomidae. The record is from RNAcentral.
CAGAAAAUAGUUUAACUUUAGAAUUCUGGCUUUGGGAGCCAGGGGUGGGAGUUAAAAUCUCCUUUUUCUGG